Molecule: ribosomal RNA, 468 nt
Filed under: Streptococcus gordonii
Lineage: Bacteria; Bacillati; Bacillota; Bacilli; Lactobacillales; Streptococcaceae
Description: bacterial SSU rRNA
Rfam family: Bacterial small subunit ribosomal RNA
Source: RNAcentral
CAAGUAGAACGCACAGUUUAUACCGUAGCUUGCUACACCAUAGACUGUGAGUUGCGAACGGGUGAGUAACGCGUAGGUAACCUGCCUGGUAGCGGGGGAUAACUAUUGGAAACGAUAGCUAAUACCGCAUAAUAUUAAUUAUUGCAUGAUAAUUGAUUGAAAGGUGCAAUUGCACCACUACCAGAUGGACCUGCGUUGUAUUAGCUAGUAGGUGAGGUAACGGCUCACCUAGGCGACGAUACAUAGCCGACCUGAGAGGGUGAUCGGCCACACUGGGACUGAGACACGGCCCAGACUCCUACGGGAGGCAGCAGUAGGGAAUCUUCGGCAAUGGACGAAAGUCUGACCGAGCAACGCCGCGUGAGUGAAGAAGGUUUUCGGAUCGUAAAGCUCUGUUGUAAGAGAAGAACGGGUGUGAGAGUGGAAAGUUUCACACUGUGACGGUAUCUUACCAGAAAGGACGGCUAA